This 541-nucleotide ribosomal RNA is filed under the name uncultured Streptococcus sp. RNAcentral describes it as "bacterial LSU rRNA". It matches the Rfam family "Bacterial large subunit ribosomal RNA", at positions 858 to 1386 of the family's 2925-position model. Lineage: Bacteria; Bacillati; Bacillota; Bacilli; Lactobacillales; Streptococcaceae. The record is from RNAcentral.
CCCGGUAAAUAGCUUUAGGGGCUAGCGUCGAUGUUAAGUCUCUUGGAGGUAGAGCGACNGUUUUGGGUGAGGGGUCCGAUCCCCGGGAUUUACCCAAAUCUCAGAUAAACUCCGAAAUGCCAAUGAGAUAUAAUCGGCAGUCAGACUGCGAGUGCUAAGAUCCGUAGUCGAAAGGGAAACAGCCCAGACCACCAGCUAAGGUCCCAAAAUAUAUGUUAAGUGGAAAAGGAUGUGGGGUUGCACAGACAACUAGGAUGUUAGCUUAGAAGCAGCUAUUCAUUCAAAGAGUGCGUAAUAGCUCACUAGUCGAGUGACCCUGCGCCGAAAAUAUACCGGGGCUAAGCAUAAUACCGAAACUGUGGGUGCACCCGUCAGGGUGCGCGGUAGGAGAGCGUUCUAAGGGCGUUGAAGGUCGAUCGUGAGGACGGCUGGAGCGCUUAGAAGUGAGAAUGCCGGCAUGAGUAGCGAAAGAUCAGUGAGAAUCUGAUCCACCGUAUGACUAAGGUUUCCUGGGGAAGGCUCGUCCUCCCAGGGUUAGUCG